CAAAUAGGAUUUUGUAUCCUCUUAAAUUGAUUCCCUUCAGAAAAAUGUAAUAUAAAGUCUCUGAGUAUAGGAGCUGGGCACUCUGAUCUGACUCUCUCCAGAAUAAUCCUAUGUGGUGUCUUACACAGGAUUACCUCCCCAAACCAGCCUUCCCUCCAGAACUCUUACUAGAGAGGUGGAGCUGCCUUUUUUUAAUGCAUUGUUUGCUUUUCAUCUCAGAUAUUAAUAGCUCUUUCUAGUAACUUAUUUAGUGACCUUAAAUCAGAAAGGAGCAGGAUGUGUGCCAGUUAGUUGCAAAAGGAAACUCUACACUUUAUGUACACACCCAAACAAAAAUGUACUGCUAAUGUCAAAAUAGCAACAUUGAAGUGACUAGAUACAGAACUGAAACAUCUCAUGGCAAUGUGCACAUUUGCAUUUCCUUUUGUCCCAACACCGGUGUUUGCAGAAAAUGCAGUGAAUGGUUUCUAGUCUGCAGUGAAGAUAAUCACUGAGAGCUCCAAAGAAAACUAUUGCCAUGGACAUGCACGGAUGCAGGCUCUCUUUUCCUCGUGAAUAGACUGCAAAGGAGUUGCUAAGCUGUUGCAGGCCUGGAUGACAUUGAAGGUACAACUCCCUCCUCUUUCUGCUCUGCCAGAGCAUGUUAUAACUGAAAAGCCCUGGAAGAAGCUACAGUGAGAGAGAAUUGUUUGAGAACAACACAGAGAUUUAACUUGAAGCUAUGGAUGUAGAGAAUCUCUAAAAAUUAUCUGAAAGUCACAACAGUAUCAGAGAUUCCAUCUGAGGAGACUGUCCUUCCCUUCUCUAAAGCCAAGGACAUCAAUAUUCUGCUUUAGGCCCAACAAUGACAAAGACUACAUCAUACUCAUUACAGCUCAAAAACUCUGCAGCUUUGACCCACAUGAUGGAGCAGAAUGAAGAAAUGUCUCCACUAAAAGAUGCUUUGGUCCUAUUUUGUAUCCAAAAGAGACUCCUAUGUUCACUUCACCUGAAAGAAGCAGAAAGAUGGAGGAACUUUCUGUCCUUGUUUAGUCUCUAAAUAGAGUUAGGUCCCUCCUUUCCUGCUGCUCUAAAAUUUAUGGCCUUCCAGUAGCCUACAGCUACCUUCAAGAAAACGAAAUAGGGCAAGAGUGGACCAGGGACCCAGCAGAAGAUGAGGCAUAAUCCAACCAGUGAAAAGGCAUUGGCAAAAGGCCUGAGGAAAAAGGAAGGCCAUGAUCUGAUUAUGUGAAUAAUCUUCCCUUAUGUCACAGUCCACAUAAGAAAGAUGUUGCAACAUGGUCCUUGAGUAAGUAUGCAACACUGGGUUUGUUUUUCACACUGUAAACAACAGAUAAAAAUGGAAUACUGAUAACACUUGGAAUUAUAAUGCAUUAUGCCUUGAGCUGGCUGCUUGGUGGAAUAUGAUGAUGAAUAUCUGAGCCUUCCCAAAUCACAUUUAUUGUAAUGUGUUGGUAGCACUAAUUUCUUUAAGCUGGAGUCCUUUUUCUCACCUUUUUGAUCCCCACUUAGCUUUAGAUUCUGUAAGAAUUCUCAGGACUAAAAGUAAAACCCCUCUUUUUUUCAUUUAUUCAAAUUAUAGUUCUGAAGUUUUGCAUUGGUGCAAAGAAGCCACACAGCUGCUAAGAAGAAUACAGAACUUUGUGCCAGGAUCCUAGGCUGGAAAAGGGGAAUGAAAAAGUCAUUGUAUCACACAGAAAAAAACCUCAAAGUACACCCAACCCAACCAUGCUGUGGGUGCAUUUUAAGCCCUGAAGUUUGCAAUGAAAAUAGCCCUGGGUGCAUGCCCUUGUAUGCAUUAAAGCACGAGCCCUUAAGACACAACAAGGCUCUAGGCUGAAAUGCACACCAGGAUGGACACAGGGUCACCCACCUGGAUCCAAAAACCUGGACUAUCCUGCAAACACAGCUCAAACAGGCAGCUCCUAUAAAGCUUACAACUGUCUUGAAUAUCCACUUACCCCUAGCUGCUUCUUCCAUACGCUACCCUCCUUCUGCUAACAUGGCAGCAUGUAAUUAUUCUAAAAAGAACAGCAACAACACAGCAUUCAAACAGUCCUUGUGACUCAGUCCUGGGCCUUCACAGAGGUUGUGAGGCCAAAACUCUGAGGAGGGAGCAUUCUCUUUGCAAUGUAUGUUUCACUUGAAAGCAUUUUCUGUAUGCAGAAUUAAACAUUUUUAUCUUCACUUAAAAUGCCCUGAGACUCUCCUGUGAUGUUAAAUUAGGGAAAAAAGUGCACCCUUUGCUUUUGACAGAAUUUGUGCAAUUUUGGGAUUUUCUACUUACAUCCAUGUUAAGGCACAAGAAAAAUAUGUCCAAUAAAAAGCUGUGAUUUAAUAUGAAGAUAGAAAGUGUAAAUACAAAACAAGAAAUUGGAAACCAGAAAUCUUCCCUUCAAGAAAAGCAUCCUUACUACCAGCAUCAUAAGGCAGUCUAAAUUUCGGAAGCAGGAUGCCAAGUAGGGUGACAUUGCAGGACUGCUCUGCUAAACCAUGUUCUGCAGAGAUUUCUGGGAUAGAAUGUGCUCACUUCAGUUUGCAGGAUUCUUUGUGGUAUUUAUAUUAGUACAAAAUUUGUUGAU
Molecule: long non-coding RNA, 2582 nt
Organism: Passer montanus (Eurasian tree sparrow)
Lineage: Eukaryota; Metazoa; Chordata; Aves; Passeriformes; Passeridae
Exons: 3
Source: RefSeq, a predicted model, not a curated record